CUCUGCAUCCCUAGAGGAAGAGAGCCCGCCUGGGCGCCCCUGAGCCGCUCCCCAGGGGAGAGAGGAGAUCUCUGUUUACUCAAGACCGAAAGCAGCCGGAUUCAAGGUAUUCCAGACAACUCAGGCCCAUCUGCUACACUUGAUGGAAGAAGGGAUCGUGUAUCUUCUGCAAAGGAGAGCCAGAGAGAGUGCUGCUGGAGACGGGUAACUCAGCAGCAACAUCUCACAGAAACACAGGCAGGAAGGAAUGAUCCACUGGAUGAUGUCGCCCACUUGAAAGAACGUUGCCUUUUUAUGAUUUCUUGAGCACCAAUUAUCCAUGCAAUGCUCUGCUACCGACGCCUUCAUGAAUCUUGUCGCUUUUCUCUUCAGAUUUUAGUUAGUGUUUUCAGCAACUGGUAAUGCAUUAGUAACUAUUAUGUACCCUGGAAUGCUUUUAUAAAUUAUUAAACAUUAACGGUUUUGCUUUCAAAAAAUAACUAAGACUGAAUCCUGG
Molecule: long non-coding RNA, 496 nt
Filed under: Mus spicilegus (steppe mouse)
Lineage: Eukaryota; Metazoa; Chordata; Mammalia; Rodentia; Muridae
Description: lncRNA (ENSMSIG00000031169.1)
Source: RNAcentral